Molecule: ribosomal RNA, 321 nt
Filed under: Triticum aestivum (bread wheat)
Lineage: Eukaryota; Viridiplantae; Streptophyta; Magnoliopsida; Poales; Poaceae
Description: partial small subunit ribosomal RNA
Source: RNAcentral
AUGUUACUCCAGAUGCAAGUUUCUUGCAUGAAGCUGACUGUUGUUUAUUAUUUUUCUUCAUGCCAUAUUUCUUUGAGAUCUCCAAAUUAUCCCAGACUUGCUUCAUACUUUGGUGCCAUCUGCAUUACUGCAUAUACUAUUCACUAUUCAGACUGGCUCUGGAGCAAACUGCGUAGCAAGAUCAAUAAUGAAUGGUUCAAGUCAUGUAUUACAAGUUACAAUGAGCAGGAGGUAGUCAAGUCAGUUGAUGAUAAGGAUAUUAUUCGAACAUUUACUGCAAUGACGUCUCGGAAAGGGCAUUUGCCUUGUGAUUGUCUUUAG